GAUGAACGCUGGCGGCGUGCCUAAUACAUGCAAGUCGAGCGAACAGACGAGGAGCUUGCUCCUCUGACGUUAGCGGCGGACGGGUGAGUAACACGUGGAUAACCUACCUAUAAGACUGGGAUAACUUCGGGAAACCGGAGCUAAUACCGGAUAAUAUAUUGAACCGCAUGGUUCAAUAGUGAAAUACGGUUUUGCUGUCACUUAUAGAUGGAUCCGCGCCGCAUUAGCUAGUUGGUAAGGUAACGGCUUACCAAGGCAACGAUGCGUAGCCGACCUGAGAGGGUGAUCGGCCACACUGGAACGGAGACACGGUCCAGACUCCUACGGGAGGCAGCAGUAGGGAAUCUUCCGCAAUGGGCGAAAGCCUGACGGAGCAACGCCGCGUGAGUGAUGAAGGUCUUCGGAUCGUAAAACUCUGUUAUUAGGGAAGAACAAAUGUGUAAGUAACUAUGCACGUCUUGACGGUACCUAAUCAGAAAGCCACGGCUAACUACGUG
RNAcentral lists this ribosomal RNA (497 nucleotides) under uncultured bacterium. RNAcentral describes it as "partial 16S ribosomal RNA". It matches the Rfam family "Bacterial small subunit ribosomal RNA", at positions 28 to 507 of the family's 1533-position model. The record is from RNAcentral.